This 681-nucleotide ribosomal RNA is filed under the name Cyanopsitta spixii (Spix's macaw). RNAcentral describes it as "partial 12S ribosomal RNA". It matches the Rfam family "Bacterial small subunit ribosomal RNA", at positions 518 to 1504 of the family's 1533-position model. Lineage: Eukaryota; Metazoa; Chordata; Aves; Psittaciformes; Psittacidae. The record is from RNAcentral.
CGGUCAUACAAGAAACCCAAGUUAACAUACACGGCGUAAAGAGUGGGCUCAAACUAUCACACCAAACUAAGAUCAAACCCUGCCCAAGCCGUCAUAAGCUCAGGGCACCUCUAAACCCAACCUGAAGACGAUCUUAACACCCACGACCCAUUCCACCCCACUAAAGCCAGGGCACAAACUGGGAUUAGAUACCCCACUAUGCCUAGCCCUAAAUCUCGAUGCCUCCCAAACACAAACAUCCGCCCGAGAACUACGAGCACAAACGCUUAAAACUCUAAGGACUUGGCGGUGCUCUAAACCCACCUAGAGGAGCCUGUUCUAUAAUCGAUAACCCACGAUUCACCCGACCACUCCUUGCCAAAACAGCCUAUAUACCGCCGUCGCCAGCCCACCUCAUGAGAGCACAGCAGUGAGCUCAACAGCCCACAACCCGCUAACAAGACAGGUCGAGGUAUAGCCCAUGGAGUGGAAGAAAUGGGCUACAUUUUCUAAAAUAGAAAACCUAACGAAAAGGAGCUUGAAAUCCGCUCCCAGAAGGCGGAUUUAGCAGUAAAGCAGGAUGACCAAGCCUUCUUUAAGUCGGUCCUAGAGCACGUACACACCGCCCGUCACCCUCCUCACAGAGCCCCAAACAUACUAACUAAUAUGCUACACCACUGAAGACGAGGUAAUGUAUAUGUA